CCCCCCGUACCCAUGGCCGAAGCCCUUGAACGGCCCCAAUGCCGGCGUUGAGUGAUGAAGGUUUUCGGAUCGUAAAGCUCUGUUGCCAGGGCAAGAACGCUUGGAGAGAGUAACUGCCUCUCAAGGUGACGGUACCUGAGAAGAAAGCCCCGGCUAACUACGUGCCAGCAGCCGCGGUAAUACGUAGGGGGCAAGCGUUGUCCGGAAUUAUUGGGCGUAAAGCGCGCGCAGGUCGGUCAUUUAAGUCUGGUGUUUAAUCCCGGGGCUCAACCCCGGAUCGCACUGGAAACUGGGUGACUUGAGUGCAGAAGAGGAGAGUGGAAUUCCACGUGUAGCGGUGAAAUGCGUAGAUAUGUGGAGGAACACCAGUGGUGAAGGCGACUCUCUGGGCUGUAACUGACGCUGAGGCGCGAAAGCGUGGGGAGCAAACAGGAUUAGAUACCCCAGUAGUCA
This 453-nucleotide ribosomal RNA is filed under the name Paenibacillus mobilis. RNAcentral's name for it is "bacterial SSU rRNA". It matches the Rfam family "Bacterial small subunit ribosomal RNA", at positions 359 to 796 of the family's 1533-position model. Lineage: Bacteria; Bacillati; Bacillota; Bacilli; Caryophanales; Paenibacillaceae. The record is from RNAcentral.